GGGCCCGCACAAGCGGCGGAGCAUGCGGAUUAAUUCGAUGCAACGCGAAGAACCUUACCAAGGCUUGACAUAUAGAGGAAACGGCUGGAAACAGUCGCCCCGCAAGGUCUCUAUACAGGUGGUGCAUGGUUGUCGUCAGCUCGUGUCGUGAGAUGUUGGGUUAAGUCCCGCAACGAGCGCAACCCUCGUCCUAUGUUGCCAGCACGUAAUGGUGGGAACUCAUGGGAUACUGCCGGGGUCAACUCGGAGGAAGGUGGGGAUGACGUCAAAUCAUCAUGCCCCUUAUGUCUUGGGCUUCACGCAUGCUACAAUGGCCGGUACAAAGGGCUGCAAUACCGCAAGGUGGAGCGAAUCCCAAAAAGCCGGUCUCAGUUCGGAUUGAGGUCUGCAACUCGACCUCAUGAAGUCGGAGUCGCUAGUAAUCGCAGAUCAGCAACGCUGCGGUGAAUACGUUCCCGGGCCUUGUACACACCGCCCGUCAAGUCAUGAAAGUCGGUAACACCCGAAGCCAGUGGCCGAACCCGCAAGGGAUGGAGCUGUCGAAGGUGGGAUCGGUGAUUAGGACU
This 566-nucleotide ribosomal RNA is filed under the name uncultured bacterium. Its description in RNAcentral is "bacterial SSU rRNA". It matches the Rfam family "Bacterial small subunit ribosomal RNA", at positions 917 to 1482 of the family's 1533-position model. The record is from RNAcentral.